AGUGGCGGACGGGUGAGUAACGCGUGGGCAACCUGCCCCAUACCGGGGGAUAACAGCCGGAAACGGCUGCUAAUACCGCAUACGCCCAGGAGGCUGCAUAGCUUCCUGGGGAAAACUCCGGUGGUAUGGGAUGGGCCCGCGUCUGAUUAGCUCGUUGGCGGGGUAACGGCCCACCAAGGCGACGAUCAGUAGCCGGCCUGAGAGGGCGGCCGGCCACAUUGGGACUGAGACACGGCCCAGACUCCUGCGGGAGGCAGCAGUGGGGAAUAUUGCACAAUGGGGGAAACCCUGAUGCAGCGACGCCGCGUGAGCGAUGAAGUAUCUCGGUAUGUAAAGCCCUAUCAGCAGGGAAGAAAGUGACAGUACCUGACUAAGAAGCCCCGGCUAACUACGUGCCAGCAGCCGCGGUAAUACGUAGGGGGCAAGCGUUAUCCGGAUUCACUGGGCGUAAAGGGAGCGCAGGCGGCACGGCAAGUCUGGUGUGAAAACCCGGGGCUCAACCCCGGGACUGCAUUGGAAACUGCCGGGCUGGAGUGUCGGAGGGGUAAGCGGAAUUCCUAGUGUAGCGGUGAAAUGCGUAGAUAUUAGGAGGAACACCAGUGGCGAAGGCGGCUUACUGGACGAUGACUGACGCUGAGGCUCGAAAGCGUGGGGAGCAAACAGGAUUAGAUACCCUGGUA
Molecule: ribosomal RNA, 680 nt
Filed under: uncultured bacterium
Lineage: Bacteria
Description: bacterial SSU rRNA
Rfam family: Bacterial small subunit ribosomal RNA
Source: RNAcentral